This 335-nucleotide unclassified non-coding RNA is filed under the name Hevea brasiliensis (rubber tree). Lineage: Eukaryota; Viridiplantae; Streptophyta; Magnoliopsida; Malpighiales; Euphorbiaceae. The record is from RNAcentral.
GCGGCUACGGCGCGGACGCCGUCGGCAGCGGCAUCGAAGUGACCUGGACCCAGACGCCGGCCCAGUGGAGCAACUUCUUCUUCGAGAACCUGUUCAAGUAUGAGUGGGUGCAGACCCGCAGCCCCGGCGGUGCGAUCCAGUGGGAAGCCAAGGACGCCGAGGCCGUCAUCCCCGAUGCGCACGAUCCGUCGAAGAAGCGCAAGCCGACCAUGCUGACCACCGACCUGUCGCUGCGCGUGGAUCCGGCCUACGAGAAGAUCUCGCGCCGCUUCCUCGAAAACCCGCAGGCCUUCGCGGAAGCCUUCGCGCGCGCAUGGUUCAAGCUGACCCACCGC